This 440-nucleotide ribosomal RNA is filed under the name uncultured bacterium. RNAcentral describes it as "bacterial SSU rRNA". It matches the Rfam family "Bacterial small subunit ribosomal RNA", at positions 338 to 795 of the family's 1533-position model. The record is from RNAcentral.
CCUACGGGGUGCACCAGUGGGGAAUAUUGGACAAUGGGCGAAAGCCUGAUCCAGCAAUGCCGCGUGUGUGAAGAAGGUCUUCGGAUUGUAAAGCACUUUCGACGGGGACGAUGAUGACGGUACCCGUAGAAGAAGCCCCGGCUAACUUCGUGCCAGCAGCCGCGGUAAUUCGAAGGGGGCUAGCGUUGCUCGGAAUGACUGGGCGUAAAGGGCGCGUAGGCGGUUUAUGCAGUCAGAUGUGAGGUCCCCGGGCUUAACCUGGGAACUGCAUUUGAGACGCAUAGACUAGAGGUCGAGAGAGGGUUGUGGAAUUCCCAGUGUGGAGGUGAAAUUCGUAGAUAUUGGGAAGAACACCGGUGGCGAAGGCGGCAACCUGGCUCGAUACUGACGCUCAGGUGCGAAAGCGUGGGGAGCAAACAGGAUUAGAUACCCGUGUAGUC